Molecule: ribosomal RNA, 430 nt
Filed under: uncultured bacterium
Lineage: Bacteria
Description: bacterial SSU rRNA
Rfam family: Bacterial small subunit ribosomal RNA
Source: RNAcentral
GUAGGGAAUCUUCCGCAAUGGACGAAAGUCUGACGGAGCAACGCCGCGUGAGUGAUGAAGGCUUUCGGGUCGUAAAACUCUGUUGUUAGGGAAGAACAAGUACAAGAGUAACUGCUUGUACCUUGACGGUACCUAACCAGAAAGCCACGGCUAACUACGUGCCAGCAGCCGCGGUAAUACGUAGGUGGCAAGCGUUAUCCGGAAUUAUUGGGCGUAAAGCGCGCGCAGGCGGUUUCUUAAGUCUGAUGUGAAAGCCCACGGCUCAACCGUGGAGGGUCAUUGGAAACUGGGGAACUUGAGUGCAGAAGAGAAAAGCGGAAUUCCACGUGUAGCGGUGAAAUGCGUAGAGAUGUGGAGGAACACCAGUGGCGAAGGCGGCUUUUUGGUCUGUAACUGACGCUGAGGCGCGAAAGCGUGGGGAGCAAACAGG